Long non-coding RNA from Hemiscyllium ocellatum (epaulette shark), 330 nucleotides. RefSeq lists it as uncharacterized. The record is from RefSeq and is a predicted model, not a curated record. The transcript is spliced from 3 exons. Lineage: Eukaryota; Metazoa; Chordata; Chondrichthyes; Orectolobiformes; Hemiscylliidae.
GAUUAUCUGAAGGAGGUCCUGAGGUCCCAAUAGAAACAUUACGUCAAAGAGCUGUCUCAACCCUGAUCGUGUCUUUUGUUAACAGGGGCUUGAAGUCGUUGGAAAAAUAGGGACUUACGGCAGGAAUCAGUGUGCUACCAUAAGGGUCAAUUUCUUUCACGAUUUUCUGAGUUGCUUUGUGAAACAUGAGAACUGUAAGAAACUACAGAGAUUCGUGAACACAGCCGAGUCCAUCACACAAGCCAGCCUUCCAUCCAAUGGCUCCAUCCACACAUCUCAUCACCUCUUCUUCCACCAUGUUCUGUUGGGCAGAAGAUAUGAAAACUUACA